GAAACCCGGUGAUCUAGCCAUGGGCAGGUUGAAGGUUGGGUAACACUAACUGGAGGACCGAACCGACUAAUGUUGAAAAAUUAGCGGAUGACUUGUGGCUGGGGGUGAAAGGCCAAUCAAACCGGGAGAUAGCUGGUUCUCCCCGAAAGCUAUUUAGGUAGCGCCUCGUGAAUUCAUCUCCGGGGGUAGAGCACUGUUUCGGCAAGGGGGUCAUCCCGACUUACCAACCCGAUGCAAACUGCGAAUACCGGAGAAUGUUAUCACGGGAGACACACGGCGGGUGCUAACGUCCGUCGUGAAGAGGGAAACAACCCAGACCGCCAGCUAAGGUCCCAAAGUCAUGGUUAAGUGGGAAACGAUGUGGGAAGGCCCAGACAGCCAGGAUGUUGGCUUAGAAGCAGCCAUCAUUUAAAGAAAGCGUAAUAGCUCACUGGUCGAGUCGGCCUGCGCGGAAGAUGUAACGGGGCUAAACCAUGCACCGAAGCUGCGGCAGCGACACUAUGUGUUGUUGGGUAGGGGAGCGUUCUGUAAGCCUGUGAAGGUGGCCUGUGAGGGUUGCUGGAGGUAUCAGAAGUGCGAAUGCUGACAUAAGUAACGAUAAAGCGGGUGAAAAGCCCGCUCGCCGGAAGACCAAGGGUUCCUGUCCAACGUUAAUCGGGGCAGGGUGAGUCGACCCCUAAGGCGAGGCCGAAAGGCGUAGUCGAUGGGAAACAGGUUAAUAUUCCUGUACUUGGUGUUACUGCGAAGGGGGGACGGAGAAGGCUAUGUUGGCCGGGCGACGGUUGUCCCGGUUUAAGCGUGUAGGCUGGUUUUCCAGGCAAAUCCGGAAAACCAAGGCUGAGGCGUGAUGACGAGGCACUACGGUGCUGAAGCGACAAAUGCCCUGCUUCCAGGAAAAGCCUCUAAGCAUCAGGUAACAUCAAAUCGUACCCCAAACCGACACAGGUGGUCAGGUAGAGAAUACCAAGGCGCUUGAGAGAACUCGGGUGAAGGAACUAGGCAAAAUGGUGCCGUAACUUCGGGAGAAGGCACGCUGAUAUGUAGGUGAAGCGACUUGCUCGUGGAGCUGAAAUCAGUCGAAGAUACCAGCUGGCUGCAACUGUUUAUUAAAAACACAGCACUGUGCAAACACGAAAGUGGACGUAUACGGUGUGACGCCUGCCCGGUGCCGGAAGGUUAAUUGAUGGGGUUAGCGGCAACGCGAAGCUCUUGAUCGAAGCCCCGGUAAACGGCGGCCGUAACUAUAACGGUCCUAAGGUAGCGAAAUUCCUUGUCGGGUAAGUUCCGACCUGCACGAAUGGCGUAAUGAUGGCCAGGCUGUCUCCACCCGAGACUCAGUGAAAUUGAACUCGCUGUGAAGAUGCAGUGUACCCGCGGCAAGACGGAAAGACCCCGUGAACCUUUACUAUAGCUUGACACUGAACAUUGAGCCUUGAUGUGUAGGAUAGGUGGGAGGCUUUGAAGUGUGGACGCCAGUCUGCAUGGAGCCGACCUUGAAAUACCACCCUUUAAUGUUUGAUGUUCUAACGUUGGCCCGUAAUCCGGGUUGCGGACAGUGUCUGGUGGGUAGUUUGACUGGGGCGGUCUCCUCCUAAAGAGUAACGGAGGAGCACGAAGGUUGGCUAAUCCUGGUCGGACAUCAGGAGGUUAGUGCAAUGGCAUAAGCCAGCUUGACUGCGAGCGUGACGGCGCGAGCAGGUGCGAAAGCAGGUCAUAGUGAUCCGGUGGUUCUGAAUGGAAGGGCCAUCGCUCAACGGAUAAAAGGUACUCCGGGGAUAACAGGCUGAUACCGCCCAAGAGUUCAUAUCGACGGCGGUGUUUGGCACCUCGAUGUCGGCUCAUCACAUCCUGGGGCUGAAGUAGGUCCCAAGGGUAUGGCUGUUCGCCAUUUAAAGUGGUACGCGAGCUGGGUUUAGAACGUCGUGAGACAGUUCGGUCCCUAUCUGCCGUGGGCGCUGGAGAACUGAGGGGGGCUGCUCCUAGUACGAGAGGACCGGAGUGGACGCAUCACUGGUGUUCGGGUUGUCAUGCCAAUGGCACUGCCCGGUAGCUAAAUGCGGAAGAGAUAAGUGCUGAAAGCAUCUAAGCACGAAACUUGCCCCGAGAUGAGUUCUCCCUGAGACUUAGAGUCUCCUGAAGGAACGUUGAAGACGACGACGUUGAUAGGCCGGGUGUGUAAGCGCAGCGAUGCGUUGAGCUAACCGGUACUAAUGAACCGUGAGGCUUAACCUUACAACGCCGAAG
RNAcentral lists this ribosomal RNA (2244 nucleotides) under Escherichia coli. RNAcentral's name for it is "partial 23S ribosomal RNA". It matches the Rfam family "Bacterial large subunit ribosomal RNA", at positions 717 to 2925 of the family's 2925-position model. Lineage: Bacteria; Pseudomonadati; Pseudomonadota; Gammaproteobacteria; Enterobacterales; Enterobacteriaceae. The record is from RNAcentral.